UGGAAAGUCAUGCUCGCGGUUAUUUGGCAACUUGGAACUUUACUUAACACCCGGUCAUAGAAAACUUGAAGUAAACUUAACUAAAACAUGCCAACUAUGUAUAUAACCGUGACUGUAUCUUCUCGUGAGUUCUUAUCCGAGCGAGGACACGGUGGGGUUAUGUCUGACUCAUAAGUAGGUGUUUACGAUUACUUCGUGAUCAUUGUAGUUCACGUCUGUUUAUGCGUAGAUCACACCCCUCUUAUUUUUGUACUCGUAAGUUAGCCACUCAAAUAAAAUGCUUAGUUGCUUGCUGAACCCUCACCAUUUAACGAUACCUCGCCCAUUAAGCUUUGCUAGUCUUGAUACGUUUGAAAAUGAGAUUGCUGAGUCCCAGUGGCUCACAGAUUACUACAACAACAAUUGCAGGUACGGAUAAAGCGUUACUUUGACGUGAGCGCGACUAUUGUUCUAUUUGGAGUUUCUUCUUCUUCUUCUUUAUCGAUCUAGGAUGGGUUCUAGGCCGGCAACCUGGGAUAGCAAGGAUGGAUGUCGUUAUUUUAUCAUUUGAUUUCAUCCAUAGACGGACCCGACUCUUCUACAUGGUGAUUGAUUGAAUGGAUGUAUUGUGAUGUUCAUGUUGUAGCUUGUGGAGAGUUUAAGACAAUUCCAUAUACUCAUUUCUUCUGUACAUGUACUUGUAACGAUAUCCAUUCUUGUGACACGAUGAGAUUCUCUUCUAUCCCGGUCGAGGACCUUGUGCAAAAAUUAGGAUAGCAUCACAUCUUGGACGUAACAAAGAACCACGGAGUUCUCUACUCAACCCCAAGU
This 810-nucleotide long non-coding RNA is filed under the name Hordeum vulgare. RNAcentral's name for it is "long non-coding RNA (HVUL_LNC004066)". Lineage: Eukaryota; Viridiplantae; Streptophyta; Magnoliopsida; Poales; Poaceae. The record is from RNAcentral.